Molecule: unclassified non-coding RNA, 331 nt
Filed under: soil metagenome
Description: partial contains 5.8S ribosomal RNA, internal transcribed spacer 2, and large subunit ribosomal RNA
Rfam family: 5.8S ribosomal RNA (bases 1-120)
Source: RNAcentral
GAUGAAGAACGCAGUGAAAUGCGAUAAGUAAUGUGAAUUGCAGAAUUCAGUGAAUCAUCGAAUCUUUGAACGCACAUUGCGCCCCCUGGUAUUCCGGGGGGCAUGCCUGUUCGAGCGUCAUUUCACCACUCAAGCCUCGCUUGGUAUUGGGCAACGCGGUCCGCCGCGUGCCUCAAAUCGACCGGCUGGGUCUUCUGUCCCCUAAGCGUUGUGGAAACUAUUCGCUAAAGGGUGCUCGGGAGGCUACGCCGUAAAACAAACCCAUUUCUAAGGUUGACCUCGGAUCAGGUAGGGAUACCCGCUGAACUUAAGCAUAUCAAUAAGCGGAGGA